AGCAGCCGCGGUAAUUCCAGCUCCAAUAGCGUAUAUUAAAGUUGUUGCAGUUAAAAAGCUCGUAGUUGAAUUUCGGGGUCAGUAGAUUGGUCGUGCCACUGGUAUGUGCUGGUCUACUGGCUCCUCCUUCCUGAUGAACCGUAAUGCCAUUAAUUUGGUGUUGCGGGGAAACUGGACUGUUACUUUGAAAAAAUUAGAGUGUUUAAAGCAGGCUAACGCUUGAAUACAUUAGCAUGGAAUAAUGAAAUAGGACGUUCGAUCUUAUUUUGUUGGUUUCUCGGAUUGACGUAAUGAUUAAUAGGGAUAGUUGGGGGCAUUAGUAUUCAAUUGUCAGAGGUGAAAUUCUUGGAUUUAU
Molecule: ribosomal RNA, 355 nt
Filed under: uncultured Glomeraceae
Lineage: Eukaryota; Fungi; Glomeromycota; Glomeromycetes; Glomerales; Glomeraceae
Description: SSU rRNA
Rfam family: Eukaryotic small subunit ribosomal RNA
Source: RNAcentral